GCCUCGGUAGUGUUAUGGAUCAGAACGGCGGACCGGAUAUCUGUAAGUGCGGGUUCGAAUCCCGCGUGAGGUU
Non-coding RNA from Dictyocaulus viviparus (bovine lungworm), 73 nucleotides. The record is from Rfam. NCBI's taxonomy places the organism in Eukaryota, Metazoa, Nematoda, Chromadorea, Rhabditida, Metastrongylidae.